UUCCCUACGGGAGGCAGCAGUGGGGAAUAUUGCACAAUGGGCGAAAGCCUGAUGCAGCAACGCCGCGUGAAGGAAGAAGGGUUUCGGCUCGUAAACUUCUAUCAACAGGGACGAAAGAAAUGACGGUACCUGAAUAAGAAGCCCCGGCUAACUACGUGCCAGCAGCCGCGGGAAUACGUAGGGGGCAAGCGUUAUCCGGAAUUACUGGGUGUAAAGGGUGAGUAGGCGGCAUGGUAAGCCAGAUGUGAAAGCCUGGGGGUUAACCCGGGGAUUGCAUUUGGAACUAUAAAGCUA
RNAcentral lists this ribosomal RNA (294 nucleotides) under uncultured bacterium. RNAcentral describes it as "partial 16S ribosomal RNA". It matches the Rfam family "Bacterial small subunit ribosomal RNA", at positions 335 to 643 of the family's 1533-position model. The record is from RNAcentral.